This 600-nucleotide ribosomal RNA is filed under the name Pseudomonas sp. 4t1. RNAcentral describes it as "bacterial SSU rRNA". It matches the Rfam family "Bacterial small subunit ribosomal RNA", at positions 60 to 655 of the family's 1533-position model. The record is from RNAcentral. Lineage: Bacteria; Pseudomonadati; Pseudomonadota; Gammaproteobacteria; Pseudomonadales; Pseudomonadaceae.
AGUCGAGCGGUAGAGAGAAGCUUGCUUCUCUUGAGAGCGGCGGACGGGUGAGUAAUGCCUAGGAAUCUGCCUGGUAGUGGGGGAUAACGCUCGGAAACGGACGCUAAUACCGCAUACGUCCUACGGGAGAAAGCAGGGGACCUUCGGGCCUUGCGCUAUCAGAUGAGCCUAGGUCGGAUUAGCUAGUUGGUGAGGUAAUGGCUCACCAAGGCGACGAUCCGUAACUGGUCUGAGAGGAUGAUCAGUCACACUGGAACUGAGACACGGUCCAGACUCCUACGGGAGGCAGCAGUGGGGAAUAUUGGACAAUGGGCGAAAGCCUGAUCCAGCCAUGCCGCGUGUGUGAAGAAGGUCUUCGGAUUGUAAAGCACUUUAAGUUGGGAGGAAGGGCAGUUACCUAAUACGUAUCUGUUUUGACGUUACCGACAGAAUAAGCACCGGCUAACUCUGUGCCAGCAGCCGCGGUAAUACAGAGGGUGCAAGCGUUAAUCGGAAUUACUGGGCGUAAAGCGCGCGUAGGUGGUUUGUUAAGUUGGAUGUGAAAUCCCCGGGCUCAACCUGGGAACUGCAUUCAAAACUGACAAGCUAGAGUAUGGUAGA